UCCCUGGUUGACCAGGGCAGUCUCUGGUGACACUUGUAACACCAGACAAGGGUUGCGCUCGUUGCGGGACUUAACCCAACAUCUCACGACACGAGCUGACGACAGCCAUGCAGCAUCUGUGGUGCACCCUCGAAGGUCACACGUUUCCGUGCGCUUGCAGCACCAUGUCAAGUCCAGGUAAGGUUCUUCGCGUUGCAUCGAAUUAAAGAACAUGCUCCGCUGCUUGUGCGGGCCCCCGUCAAUUCUUUUGAGUUUUAGCCUUGCGGCCGUACUCCCCAGGCGGGGUGCUUAAUGCGUUAGCUGCGGCACAGACGGCGUGGAAUACCGCCUACACCUAGCACCCACCGUUUACGGCGUGGACUAC
RNAcentral lists this unclassified non-coding RNA (364 nucleotides) under uncultured Actinomycetes bacterium. RNAcentral describes it as "uncultured actinobacterium contains 16S-23S intergenic spacer region". Lineage: Bacteria; Bacillati; Actinomycetota; Actinomycetes. The record is from RNAcentral.